AUUGAACGCUGGCGGCAUGCCUUACACAUGCAAGUCGAACGGCAGCACGGGAGCAAUCCUGGUGGCGAGUGGCGAACGGGUGAGUAAAGUAUCGGAACGUGCCCAGUCGUGGGGGAUAACGUAGCGAAAGUUACGCUAAUACCGCAUACGAUCUAUGGAUGAAAGCGGGGGAUCGCAAGACCUCGCGCGAUUGGAGCGGCCGAUAUCAGAUUAGGUAGUUGGUGGGGUAAAGGCUCACCAAGCCGACGAUCUGUAGCUGGUCUGAGAGGACGACCAGCCACACUGGGACUGAGACACGGCCCAGACUCCUACGGGAGGCAGCAGUGGGGAAUGUUGGACAAUGGGCGAAAGCCUGAUUCAGCCAUGCCGCGUGCAGGAUGAAGGCCUUCGGGUUGUAAACUGCUUUUGUACGGAACGAAAAGGUUUGGCCUAAUAAGCUGAGCUCAUGACGGUACCGUAAGAAUAAGCACCGGCUAACUACGUGCCAGCAGCCGCAGUAA
Molecule: ribosomal RNA, 500 nt
Filed under: uncultured bacterium
Lineage: Bacteria
Description: partial 16S ribosomal RNA
Rfam family: Bacterial small subunit ribosomal RNA
Source: RNAcentral